This 1339-nucleotide ribosomal RNA is filed under the name metagenome. RNAcentral describes it as "bacterial LSU rRNA". It matches the Rfam family "Bacterial large subunit ribosomal RNA", at positions 1595 to 2925 of the family's 2925-position model. The record is from RNAcentral.
CUAUACCCUGCUUCCAGGAAAAGCCACUAAGCUUCAGCUACACACGACCGUACCGCAAACCGACACUGGUGCGCGAGAUGAGUAUUCUAAGGCGCUUGAGAGAACUCAGGAGAAGGAACUCGGCAAAUUGACACCGUAACUUCGGAAGAAGGUGUGCCUUUAGUAGGUGAAGGGAUUUACUCCCGGAGCCCAAUGAGGUUGCAAAAAAUCGGUGGCUGCGACUGUUUAUUAAAAACACAGCACUCUGCAAACACGAAAGUGGACGUAUAGGGUGUGACGCCUGCCCGGUGCUGGAAGAUUAAAUGAUGGGGUGCAAGCUCUUGAUUGAAGUCCCAGUAAACGGCGGCCGUAACAAUAACGGUCCUAAGGUAGCGAAAUUCCUUGUCGGGUAAGUUCCGACCUGCACGAAUGGCGUAACGAUGGCCACACUGUCUCCUCCUGAGACUCAGCGAAGUUGAAAUGUUUGUGAUGAUGCAAUCUCCCCGCGGAAAGACGGAAAGACCCCAUGAACCUUUACUGUAGCUUUGUAUUGGACUUUGAACAGAUCUGUGUAGGAUAGGUGGGAGGCUUUGAAGUAGGGUCGCUAGAUCUUAUGGAGCCAACGUUGAAAUACCACCCUGGUGUGUUUGAGGUUCUAACCUAGGUCCAUUAUCUGGAUCGGGGACAGUGCAUGGUAGGCAGUUUGACUGGGGCGGUCUCCUCCCAAAGCGUAACGGAGGAGUUCGAAGGUACGCUAGUUACGGUCGGACAUCGUGACGAUAGUGCAAUGGCGUAAGCGUGCUUAACUGCGAGACUGACAAGUCGAGCAGAUGCGAAAGCAGGACAUAGUGAUCCGGUGGUUCUGUAUGGAAGGGCCAUCGCUCAACGGAUAAAAGGUACUCUGGGAUAACAGGCUGAUACCGCCCAAGAGUUCAUAUCGACGGCGGUGUUUGGCACCUCGAUGUCGGCUCAUCUCAUCCUGGGGCUGUAGCCGGUCCCAAGGGUAUGGCUGUUCGCCAUUUAAAGAGUUACGUGAGCUGGGUUUAAAACGUCGUGAGACAGUUUGGUCCCUAUCUUCCGUGGGCGCUGCAGAUUUGAGGAAGCCUGCUCCUAGUACGAGAGGACCGGAGUGGACACACCUCUGGUGUAUCGGUUGUCACGCCAGUGGCAUUGCCGAGUAGCUAAGUGUGGAAGAGAUAACCGCUGAAAGCAUCUAAGCGGGAAACUCGUUUCAAGAUGAGAUCUGCCGGGGCCUUGAGCCCCCUGAAGAGUCGUUCAAGACCAGGACGUUGAUAGGUCAGGUGUGGAAGCGCAGUAAUGCGUUAAGCUAACUGAUACUAAUUGCUCGUGCGGCUUGAUC